Non-coding RNA from Manis javanica (Malayan pangolin), 1182 nucleotides. Lineage: Eukaryota; Metazoa; Chordata; Mammalia; Pholidota; Manidae. The record is from RefSeq and is a predicted model, not a curated record.
UCGGAGGACGGCACGCAGGGGGAGGAGCCCUGCACUUCGCCAGGAAGUACCUGCCCAGGGUGGGUUAAAGAAUAGAACCAUGUUGGUUGAAAGUCACAUUAAAGCCAGUGCCUGCAGGCCGGCUUGCAGGAGACCUGGAGUCACUCUUUCCUCCUUUGGGGUACAUUGAGUCCUGCCCAAUUCCAAUUCAGGGGUGUUAACCAUGGGGAACACCACCAGAUGUCUGCCACCCCCUCAGGAAGUCAGCGUCUGCACCUUUGCAUACCCCGUGGACGAUCUGUAGUUUAGGGGCAGCUUCCAACCCCUUGCUGGUGUCUAGGGAAUGACUGGGGGACAACAAGCGUUAAGCAGAGGAGGAAAUGCUUCAAUAACUGAUACUCUGCAAAUGAACCCGGCACACCAGCUGCUUCUGCUCCUGCCUGCUAGUCACCAGGACUGGGCGGGGGCUGGCCUUGGCCCUCCCUUUGUGUCUGUAUGCUCUGCUCAUGUUGUAUAUUUCACUUUUGCAACCUGUGUUUUGUUGUUGUUUUGUUUUAAUUUCCUGUAACACUUCUCUGAAAUUCACAUCUAUGUCACUGAGUUUCAAAUCAUAACUAUUAAGGAACACUUGCCAUAAGUAGAUGCCAUAUUUAAACAAAGAAAGUCAGUUCAAUGCCUUGUGCAAUUGGGACUUAGAAAUACAUCAAUAACAAAGGACAUCUACAUUAACUGUCAUGCCUAUAUUGUAUCUGUAAGUGUAACUAGCAAUAUUCAUGGCAAAAAUGCCAUCAAGGUACUCUUUUUUCUUUCUUCUUUCCUCUCCAUAAAACUAAUUCUUGAAUAUAUGCUAUAUUAUCAGGAACUAUUCCAGAUCAAGAACUGUUCCAAAUAUCUUAUUCCCAAGUUUUUAUCUUAUAGUGCAGAGUAUUCAUAAUAAAUCAACAGAAGUAGAGAAGUAUAAACAACUUAUAUUUAUUUUUCAAAUGUUCCUCUAUCAUACUAUAUUACCUCCAUUAGACUAUAUCAUUAUUUCUUCAUUAGAUGUUUAAGCAGUAUAAAUUUAAAUGUGUACAUUUUAGAAAAAAUAAUUUACAGUUAUAUAUACUAACUCGAAGAUUAAUGCCAUUGAGUUAUCUCCAUAAAUCAAUGAAACUCUAGAUAUAAUGCAAAAGCUAAGGUAGGGCUUCUUUGAAAUAAAGUACU